UCUUCAGUAGCUCAGUCGGUUAGAGCACCUGACUGUUAAUCAGGGGGUCGUAGGUUCAAGUCCUACCUGAAGAGCCC
This 77-nucleotide transfer RNA is filed under the name Paludibacter jiangxiensis. Its description in RNAcentral is "tRNA-Asn". It matches the Rfam family "tRNA". From Rfam's summary of the family: Transfer RNA (tRNA) molecules are approximately 80 nucleotides in length. Their secondary structure includes four short double-helical elements and three loops (D, anti-codon, and T loops). The record is from RNAcentral. Lineage: Bacteria; Pseudomonadati; Bacteroidota; Bacteroidia; Bacteroidales; Paludibacteraceae.